GUUUGGUUAAGUUAGAAAGGGCGCACGGUGGAUGCCUUGACACUAGGAGUCGAUGAAGGACGGGACUAACGCCGAUAUGCUUCGGGGAGCUGUAAGUAAGCUUUGAUCCGAAGAUUUCCGAAUGGGGAAACCCACCAUACGUAAUGGUAUGGUAUCCUUAUCUGAAUACAUAGGGUAAGGAAGACAGACCCAGGGAACUGAAACAUCUAAGUACCUGGAGGAAGAGAAAGCAAAUGCGAUUUCCUGAGUAGCGGCGAGCGAAA
This 263-nucleotide ribosomal RNA is filed under the name Bacillus thuringiensis. RNAcentral describes it as "partial 23S ribosomal RNA". It matches the Rfam family "Bacterial large subunit ribosomal RNA", at positions 1 to 258 of the family's 2925-position model. The record is from RNAcentral. Lineage: Bacteria; Bacillati; Bacillota; Bacilli; Caryophanales; Bacillaceae.